GCCACCAACACGAACGUCUAACUAGAACCUGAAAGGGCGCAAAAAAAAAAAAAAAUGAGGGGCAAAAACAAAGCUUUUUAAAACCAUUUCUAUUUCAAAAAAUAAUAACCCCUCACCGUAAAACCAGUAUAAUUUCCUAGAAAUUAGUAAUACAUAUGUAUGUAGAAAUCAUGCUCGAGAGUAGUGAAAACCAAGUAUAUGCCAUGUCAAGUAUCUCAGCAAUGAAAUGAGUAAGCCAGAUGAAAUAAAUCAAUGUAAACUGAUAUGUCAGCCGGAGUCACCUAACAUAACCUGUACGGCUGAGCCUAUAGCUCAUCUACCAAUUCUUGCACACGAGUCGGAACCACCUAAUGUGGUUUGUACGACAGGCUGGGUGUAAAUAAAUACGCUCAAGUGCUAUGAUUACGUGAAGGAUGUGCGUAGUAUCGCAAGUCACCUACGAGUUGGAACCACCUAAUCUGGUAUGUAUGUACGACAGGCUGGCACCUGCCUUGAAUCCAAGGUGAGCAUGUGGUGCGGGAGGUGAACGAUCAUGUGAAGGCUAGGC
Molecule: long non-coding RNA, 547 nt
Filed under: Malus domestica (apple)
Lineage: Eukaryota; Viridiplantae; Streptophyta; Magnoliopsida; Rosales; Rosaceae
Description: long non-coding RNA (MDOM_LNC000742)
Source: RNAcentral